GAUGAACGCUGGCGGCGUGCCUAAUACAUGCAAGUCGAGCGAACGGACGAGAAGCUUGCUUCUCUGAUGUUAGCGGCGGACGGGUGAGUAACACGUGGAUAACCUACCUAUAAGACUGGGAUAACUUCGGGAAACCGUAGCUAAUACCGGAUAAUAUUUUGAACCGCAUGGUUCAAAAGUGAAAGACGGUCUUGCUGUCACUUAUAGAUGGAUCCGCGCUGCAUUAGCUAGUUGGUAAGGUAACGGCUUACCAAGGCAACGAUGCAUAGCCGACCUGAGAGGGUGAUCGGCCACACUGGAGCUGAGACACGGUCCAGGCUCCUACGGGAGGCAGCAGUAGGGAAUCUUCCGCAAAGGGCGAAAGCCUGACGGAGCAACGCCGCGUGAGUGAUGAAGGUCUUCGGAUCGUAAAACUCUGUUAUUAGUGAAGAACAUAUGUGUAAGUAACUGUGCACAUCUUGACGGUACCUAAUCAGAAAGCCACGGCUAACUACGUG
Molecule: ribosomal RNA, 497 nt
Filed under: uncultured bacterium
Lineage: Bacteria
Description: partial 16S ribosomal RNA
Rfam family: Bacterial small subunit ribosomal RNA
Source: RNAcentral